GCCACCAUAGCUCAGUCGGUAGAGCAGCUGUUUCGUAAACAGCAGGUCAGCGGUUCGAGCCCGCUUGGUGGCU
RNAcentral lists this transfer RNA (73 nucleotides) under Bacteroidota bacterium. RNAcentral describes it as "Bacteroidetes bacterium (activated sludge metagenome) tRNA-Thr". It matches the Rfam family "tRNA". From Rfam's summary of the family: Transfer RNA (tRNA) molecules are approximately 80 nucleotides in length. Their secondary structure includes four short double-helical elements and three loops (D, anti-codon, and T loops). Lineage: Bacteria; Pseudomonadati; Bacteroidota. The record is from RNAcentral.